This is a long non-coding RNA of Salvelinus sp. IW2-2015, 677 nucleotides long. RefSeq lists it as uncharacterized. The record is from RefSeq and is a predicted model, not a curated record. Lineage: Eukaryota; Metazoa; Chordata; Actinopteri; Salmoniformes; Salmonidae.
ACCAGCUACAGACCAGUUACAACACGCUGACUAAAGAGAGAGACCAGCUACAGACUGAGAGAGUUUUCUUAGCGGAGGCUUUCCAAUCUCAAACAAACCUGUCCUGAAGGCUGGCAGAAGUUUGAAUCCAGUUGGUACUUCUGUCUACUGAGACUAAAACCUGGAAGGAGAGCAGAGAGGACUGUCUGGAGAGAGGAGCAGACCUGGUGAUCAUUAACAGUGAUAAGGAACAGGAGUUUCUCUUCAACCUCAACAAGGGAGUCUGGAUUGGUCUGACUGACUCUGUUACUGAGGGGACAUGGAGAUGGGUGGACGGCACCCCACUGACCCACCCCAAGGUACUGGUCUCCAAAUCAGCCUGAUAAUGGUGGUGGCAAACCAGAAGAAUAUGGUGAGGAGGACUGUGUUCAGAUACAUAAAGAACAGAGUCCUCGAAAGUCAUGGAAUGACAUUUCAUGUGACAGGAAAAUCUACUGGGUUUGUGAGAAAGUGGUUUAACAUCACUAUGACAACAUACUGUAACACAUACAGCAGCCUUCAAUGUACACAGCUUCCUCCAUUCUCUCUCUCUCUGUCUUUCUCUCUCACACACUCACACCCACACAUGCACAUACACAAACGCAUACAUAUAUUGUUGUAUUUGUUUGUAGAAUCAUUUUAAUAAAGUCCUAAUUCUU